RNAcentral lists this unclassified non-coding RNA (516 nucleotides) under Hevea brasiliensis (rubber tree). Lineage: Eukaryota; Viridiplantae; Streptophyta; Magnoliopsida; Malpighiales; Euphorbiaceae. The record is from RNAcentral.
AAGUCUUUCUAGUCAUUCAUAAGUCUCACAUUCAUGUUAUUUAACUAUUAGUUAUGUAUCUUACAGGCAUUUGUUAGUGCCAAUGCUAUUAACAAGUAAUAGUUUAGUAGCCAUAGGUCUUUUUCAAGUUUAGCCUCUUAUUACUUUUCACAAAGUGAUUGUAUUUGGCCUUUUCUAGUCAAAAUAAUAAAGUUUCUAAGUUUCUAUUGGGAGUCCAAAGUCUAAUUAGGAUUAGGAUUGUUGAACAUCAAGACUACACAUAAUCUAUCAAAAUUUAAUUUAGUAAAUGAUAGAGAUUUUCAGAAAAUUUUGAAAUACCUAGGACACAAUUGCCUUCAUAGGUGUGAUAGCUCAGGAAACUUAGGUAUGAUUUCAAGUGAAGGUAUUCUUUUUUAGGAAACAUUGAUAUGUAUUUGUCAAGGGUUUUGUUGAGUGCGAUAGCCAAUUAGCCAUAAUUAUAACUACAUUUUUUUCUUAUUUUUUGAUGAAACAAAUUGCUGGUAGAAUAUAAUUUUG